GAUGAACGCUGGCGGCGUGCUUAACACAUGCAAGUCGAACGGAAAGGCCCUGCUUUUGUGGGGUGCUCGAGUGGCGAACGGGUGAGUAACACGUGAGUAACCUGCCCUUGACUUUGGGAUAACUUCAGGAAACUGGGUCUAAUACCGGAUAGGAGCUCCUGCUGCAUGGUGGGGGUUGGAAAGUUUCGGCGGUUGGGGAUGGACUCGCGGCUUAUCAGCUUGUUGGUGGGGUAGUGGCUUACCAAGGCUUUGACGGGUAGCCGGCCUGAGAGGGUGACCGGCAACAUUGGGACUGAGAUACGGCCAAGACUCCUACGGGAGGAAGCAGUGGGGAAUAUUGCACAAUGGGCGGAAGCCUGAUGCAGCAACGCCGCGUGCGGGAUGACGGCCUUCGGGUUGUAAACCGCUUUCGCCUGUGACGAAGCGUGAGUGACGGUAAUGGGUAAAGAAGCACCGGCUAACUACGUG
This 468-nucleotide ribosomal RNA is filed under the name uncultured bacterium. Its description in RNAcentral is "partial 16S ribosomal RNA". It matches the Rfam family "Bacterial small subunit ribosomal RNA", at positions 28 to 507 of the family's 1533-position model. The record is from RNAcentral.